This is a non-coding RNA of Dermatophagoides farinae (American house dust mite), 533 nucleotides long. The record is from RefSeq and is a predicted model, not a curated record. Lineage: Eukaryota; Metazoa; Arthropoda; Arachnida; Sarcoptiformes; Pyroglyphidae.
AAUAACAUAUCAACCACUUUGAAUGACAUUGCUUGCUUGCUUGCUUGCUUGCUCUCAUAUGAUGAUGUUGAUCUGGAGAACGGACGAAUAUAAAAUGCUGAAGAACCAAGGUUAAUCAUCAUCAUCAUCAUCAUGUUUGGUGUUUUUUUUUUAUCGCGAAUUGUUGCAGCAGCUAAGAACAACAACAACAACAACUACAUUGACUUAAAUUGAUGGAUUAGAUGAUUAAUAGAUUUCACAUUCAAGUAAAGAUAUUCAUCUUGGAAUUUGAUAAAUAAUACACGGAAGUUUAUAGUUUUGAUAACGGAAAUGGUUUUGGUAGAAAAAAAACACACACACAUCCUGUAGUAAGUUUGUGGCUUGACGCCAAGAAUCUCAAUUGUAUCAUUUUAUUCCAGAAUUUAUAAAUCUACCAACAACAACAACAAUUGACAUGUUCUGGUUAUUUAUUGAAAUGUCAUCUUUGUUUUUACUCUGUUUCAUGGACCAUAUGGACCGACAAGGUCAUUGAUGUCAUUUUAAGUAAAAAACAA